GAUGAACGCUGGCGGCGUGCCUAAUACAUGCAAGUCGAGCGAACAGACGAGGAGCUUGCUCCUCUGACGUUAGCGGCGGACGGGUGAGUAACACGUGGAUAACCUACCUAUAAGACUGGGAUAACUUCGGGAAACCGGAGCUAAUACCGGAUAAUAUAUUGAACCGCAUGGUUCAAUAGUGAAAGACGGUUUUGCUGUCACUUAUAGAUGGAUCCGCGCCGCAUUAGCUAGUUGGUAAGGUAACGGCUUACCAAGGCAACGAUGCGUAGCCGACCUGAGAGGGUGAUCGGCCACACUGGAACGGAGACACGGUCCAGACUCCUACGGGAGGCAGCAGUAAGGAAUCUUCCGCAAUGGGCGAAAGCCUGACGGAGCAACGCCGCGUGAGUGAUGAAGGUCUUCGGAUCGUAAAACUCUGUUAUUAGGGAAGAACAAAUGUGUAAGUAACUAUGCACGUCUUGACGGUACCUAAUCAGAAAGCCACGGCUAACUACGUG
RNAcentral lists this ribosomal RNA (497 nucleotides) under uncultured bacterium. Its description in RNAcentral is "partial 16S ribosomal RNA". It matches the Rfam family "Bacterial small subunit ribosomal RNA", at positions 28 to 507 of the family's 1533-position model. The record is from RNAcentral.